CGACGGGUGAGUAACACGUAUCCAACCUGCCGUCUACUCUUGGACAGCCUUCUGAAAGGAAGAUUAAUACAAGAUGGCAUCAUGAGUUCACAUGUUCACAUGAUUAAAGGUAUUCCGGUAGACGAUGGGGAUGCGUUCCAUUAGAUAGUAGGCGGGGUAACGGCCCACCUAGUCUUCGAUGGAUAGGGGUUCUGAGAGGAAGGUCCCCCACAUUGGAACUGAGACACGGUCCAA
This 234-nucleotide ribosomal RNA is filed under the name uncultured bacterium. Its description in RNAcentral is "partial 16S ribosomal RNA". It matches the Rfam family "Bacterial small subunit ribosomal RNA", at positions 102 to 334 of the family's 1533-position model. The record is from RNAcentral.